GGGAUCAGACUGUUGCUGGCCUUUUUGAAUGAUGGUGACGCUGGAUAACGGCCGAACUGUCAUGAAAACCAAUGGUGACGCUGGAUAACGGCCGAACUGUUGUUGGCAUUGUGCACGUUUGUGACUUUUCCUGAUCAAUAGCUUUCUCCAACCCACACCUGUGCACUUGUUGUAGGCUUCUUUUGAGAAAAAGAGCCUAUGUUUUUCUACACACCCAAUUGUAUGUCUAUAGAAUGUCUUUUUACAAUUACUGAGCGCUUCUUCGAGAAGAUGGUCAGUAAGUAAAGUUAAUACAACUUUCAGCAAUGGAUCUCUUGGCUCUCGCAUCGAUGAAGAACGCAGCGAAUUGCGAUACGUAAUGUGAAUUGCAGAUUUUCAGUGAAUCAUCGAAUCUUUGAACGCACCUUGCGCUCCUUGGUAUUCCGAGGAGCAUGCCUGUUUGAGUGUCAUUAAAUUCUCAACUCCCUUUGAUUUUGUUAUCGGAGGAAGCUUGGAUAGUGGGUUUGCUGGUGAAGUUAAUCAUCGGCUUUCCUUAAAUGCAUUGGCAAAGGCGAAGGCAUGAUAACGUCUUUCGGUGUGAUAAUGAUCGCCGUGGAUGGAAGUGUCCUAGUUUCGUACUGUGCCUAUAACCCCUUUGCGUUGUUGCUUGUAAUGAAGUGACGAUGCUAUCGAACCCUGAACCUUUUUGACCUCAAAUCAGGUAGGA
This 706-nucleotide ribosomal RNA is filed under the name Hygrophoropsis aurantiaca. Its description in RNAcentral is "eukaryotic LSU rRNA". The stretch from base 295 to 449 matches the Rfam family "5.8S ribosomal RNA". Lineage: Eukaryota; Fungi; Basidiomycota; Agaricomycetes; Boletales; Hygrophoropsidaceae. The record is from RNAcentral.